This 251-nucleotide unclassified non-coding RNA is filed under the name plant metagenome. RNAcentral describes it as "partial contains small subunit ribosomal RNA, internal transcribed spacer 1, and 5.8S ribosomal RNA". The stretch from base 1 to 54 matches the Rfam family "Eukaryotic small subunit ribosomal RNA", at positions 1778 to 1831 of the family's 1831-position model. The record is from RNAcentral.
GGAAGUAAAAGUCGUAACAAGAUCUCCGUAGGUGAACCUGCGGAGGGAUCAUUACAGAGUUCUCGCCCUCGCGGGUAGAUCUCCCACCCACUGUUAUCGUUACUGUGUUGCUUUGGCGGGCCGCCGGGCCCCGCUCGGCCGCCGGCUCCGGCUGGCGCGCGCCCGCCAGAGGCCCAGCAAACUCUGAAUGUUAGUGUCGUCUGAGUACUAUAUAAUAGUUAAAACUCUCAACAACGGAUCUCUUGGUUCUG